AUCAUACGGGAAAAUCCACGU
Molecule: microRNA, 21 nt
Filed under: Cavia porcellus (domestic guinea pig)
Lineage: Eukaryota; Metazoa; Chordata; Mammalia; Rodentia; Caviidae
Description: cpo-miR-376d-3p
Gene: cpo-miR-376d-3p
Source: miRBase by way of RNAcentral